Long non-coding RNA from Esox lucius (northern pike), 659 nucleotides. Lineage: Eukaryota; Metazoa; Chordata; Actinopteri; Esociformes; Esocidae. The record is from Ensembl.
GGGUCUGCAGAAGGCAAACACACAGAGGAAGAUCAACAACCAAGUCGCCAAGGUCUGGAUCUUUGUUUGAGAGAUCAAAAUGUACCCUAUUCAAUUGGAUGAAAUUCAUCUACAGAUUUGCACAAGGGCUUCGCUUGAGGCAAAUUGAUAUGCUCAGGGAAGGGAUUACUGGAAGUUCUCGAACACUCUCCAAGAUGGCAAAAACACUGAGGAGAGUCUGUCGCCACUCAAUGAAGGCAUAUGUCAGAAGAAAGGGCCAAGUCGUUGGACGACACAGGGAAUUUGUCAUGAUUGAUGAGAGCAACUUCCGUCAUAAACGAAAGUAUGGACGAGGAAGGUUUGCACAGACAUGGGCUCGAAGAAAGUGGGUGUUCGGGAUUCUUGGAGUUUCACAAAGAAGAAGGAGGCCUAUUCUGAGACUGGUUAAGCGUAGGUCUAGACGUCACCUGGUACCCUUAAUUGAGCGGCAUGUGUAUCCUGGAAGCCAAAUCAUCAGUGACGAAUGGCGGGCUUACAGAGGCAUACUCACCAGGCUUGGCUAUCAACAUUUCUCUGUGAACCACAGUCGAUGGUUUGUGGACCCAAGAACAGGAGGCCAUACACAAAAUCUAGAGAGAGCAUGGUCUACUUUCAAAGGGAAUGUAUGGCGGAUGAGAGGG